RNAcentral lists this ribosomal RNA (466 nucleotides) under uncultured bacterium. RNAcentral's name for it is "partial 16S ribosomal RNA". It matches the Rfam family "Bacterial small subunit ribosomal RNA", at positions 28 to 507 of the family's 1533-position model. The record is from RNAcentral.
GAUGAACGCUGGCGGCGUGCUUAACACAUGCAAGUCGAACGGAAAGGCCCAAGCUUGCUUGGGUACUCGAGUGGCGAACGGGUGAGUAACACGUGGGUGAUCUGCCCUGCACUUCGGGAUAAGCCUGGGAAACUGGGUCUAAUACCGGAUAGGACCACAUUUUGGAUGGUGUGGUGGAAAGUUUUUCGGUGUGGGAUGAGCUCGCGGCCUAUCAGCUUGUUGGUGGGGUAAUGGCCUACCAAGGCGUGGGCGGGUAGCCGGCCUGAGGGGGUGUACGGCCACAUAGAGACCGAGAUGCGGCAGAAGCUGCUACGGGAGGGAGAAGGGAGAAAGAUUGAACGAUGGACGCAAGAUGGAUGCAGCGGCGCGGCGUAGGGGAUGACGGCCUUAGGGUUGAAAAAUACUUUCGCAAGGAACGAAGCGUUAUGUGACGGUACCUGGAGAAGAAGCAACGGCUAACUACGUG